AGCGAACGCUGGCGGCAGGCCUAACACAUGCAAGUCGAACGAACUCUUCGGAGUUAGUGGCGGACGGGUGAGUAACACGUGGGAACGUGCCUUUUGGUUCGGAAUAACUCAGGGAAACUUGUGCUAAUACCGAAUGUGCCCCUCGGGGGAAAGAUUUAUCGCCAUUAGAGCGGCCCGCGUCUGAUUAGCUAGUUGGUGAGGUAACGGCCCACCAAGGCGACGAUCAGUAGCUGGGCUGAGAGGAUGACCAGCCACACUGGGACUGAGACACGGCCCAGACUCCUACGGGAAGCAGCAGUGGGGAAUCUUGCGCAAUGGGCGAAAGCCUGACGCAGCCAUGCCGCGUGAAUGAUGAAGGUCUGAGGAUUGUAAAAUUCUUUCACCGGGGACGAUAAUGACGGUACCCGGAGAAGAAGCCCCGGCUAACUUCGUG
RNAcentral lists this ribosomal RNA (433 nucleotides) under uncultured bacterium. RNAcentral's name for it is "partial 16S ribosomal RNA". It matches the Rfam family "Bacterial small subunit ribosomal RNA", at positions 29 to 507 of the family's 1533-position model. The record is from RNAcentral.